GUCGGCUAUGGAGACAUGGCCCCCGUCACGGUGGGUGGCAAGAUCGUGGGCUCCCUCUGCGCCAUCGCGGGCGUGCUGACCAUCUCCCUGCCUGUGCCAGUCAUUGUCUCCAAC
Molecule: non-coding RNA, 114 nt
Organism: Myotis davidii
Lineage: Eukaryota; Metazoa; Chordata; Mammalia; Chiroptera; Vespertilionidae
Source: Rfam